UACGGGGGGGGCAAGCGUUGUUCGGAAUUACUGGGCGUAAAGGGCUCGUAGGUGGCCAACUAAGUCAGACGUGAAAUCCCUCGGCUUAACCGGGGAACUGCGUCUGAUACUGGAUGGCUUGAGUUUGGGAGAGGGAUGCGGAAUUCCAGGUGUAGCGGUGAAAUGCGUAGAUAUCUGGAGGAAUACCGGUGGCGAAGGCGGCAUCCUGGACCAACACUGACACUGAGGAGCGAAAGCCAGGGGAGCAAACGGG
Molecule: ribosomal RNA, 253 nt
Filed under: uncultured bacterium
Lineage: Bacteria
Description: partial 16S ribosomal RNA
Rfam family: Bacterial small subunit ribosomal RNA
Source: RNAcentral